Molecule: unclassified non-coding RNA, 524 nt
Filed under: uncultured fungus
Lineage: Eukaryota; Fungi
Description: partial contains 18S rRNA, ITS1, 5.8S rRNA and ITS2
Rfam family: 5.8S ribosomal RNA (bases 247-402)
Source: RNAcentral
CGAUAGGUGAACCUGCGGAAGGAUCAUUAUCGAACGAACAAGAAAAGUCUUGGAAGAGGUGAAGGCGGGAUUGUCGCUGGCCAACUUGUGGGUGAUUCCGCUGGCAUGUGCAUGUGCACGUCCCCCCUUUGCUUGUUUCAUCUCUUUUUCUCUACACCCGUGCACUCAUUGUAGGUCCUCGAGAGAGGAUCUAUGUUUUCCAUCCACCAUAAAGUAUGUUUGUAGAAGGUCAUGAUAAAUUUAUACAACUUUCAGCAAUGGAUCUCUUGGUUCUCGCAUCGAUGAAGAACGCAGCGAAUUGCGAUAAGUAAUGUGAAUWGCAGAUUWUUCAGUGAAUCAUCGAAUCUUUGAACGCACCUUGCGCUCCUUGGUAUUCCGAGGAGCAUGCCUGUUUGAGUGUCAUUUAAUUCUCAACCAUGUCUCGAUCGAUUUCGAGCCAUGGCUUGGAGUGUGGGGGGUUUGCUGGCCUUUCUCUAGGUCAGCUCUCCUGAAAUGCAUUAGCGAUCUGGCGAGCUUGGUCCUGG